GGAACAAAGGAAUUCUGAAAUGUAAUAUUUUUAACACUAGCUUCUUUCUGGGGUUUAAAAAUGAAUUUUGAUUUACAAUCUCUGAAGAAAAUAUAUAGAAAAUAGUUUCCAAAAUUAACACAUCAAUUAAACCAAAUGGAUGGUAAUAAUUGUGUGAAAAUAAUAAAUCUUUUAUAAAGAACAUUAUAGGAAAUAAAAUAUGGAUGUACCCUGUGACUUACAUAGGUGCUAUAUUAAUCACUGAGGUGUGAAUUAUAGAGGUGAAGAGUUUAUGCUUCUUUCCUUUGUGUUGAGCAUUCUGAUAAAUGAGAGUCUAAUGUGACAGGAAAAGAUAACAUAAUGAAUAUGUUAUUAUGCUUGAAGGAACAUGAAAAAAAAAAAAAAGUGACUGACACUGCAUUUUGUUCCAGGUGGGAGUAAAAAGCAAGCAGUUCCUGGCCCAUAAUACUCCAGUUUAGGAUGUCUGACUGAUGGCAUGCUGGCACCAACCUUGGAGGAAGUGAUGAGCUUCAGCUCCAGAACAAUGAUCAAGGACUUUCUUCAUGAGACUCUCUUCAUCAAACAGGAGAAUCUUUCUUGGAAGCAUCUAUGUUUCAAUUGUGAGUGAUUUGUCACCCCAACGGAUGUCUCCAGAGUGCCUCUGAGCAGUGUUCAUGCCCUCCCCUUCUCCUGUGGGGGUAUGGGAAUGUUCCUGUCCUGAGACCACAGCAGGAUGUGCCUUGGUCAAAGGCUUGGACUCUUGGAUCAUCUGGUGACUUCAGAAUUCUGUGAUCAGUUUUUACAGCAGUUACAGGAAAGAUUCGCUCAUCUUCACAAAUGUAUCCCUGACAAGUCUUGGUGGUUUAAUGUGCUGUAGCAAUUUUUAUUCUUCCCAUCAAAUUUCAUAAGAACUCCCUAAUCAUAGUCUCCUUUAGUUUGGAUGUUUCAUGUGAGCGUGUUUGUGGCAACAGUGAGUCUCUUUUCUCUCAGCUACUCUGGUUUUAUAGUGUCUUAUCAUCAAGUUAUUUUCUGGUUCCAUAUUUUUGAUGGACAAUUCUGACUUAUAAGUAUAUAAAGGAGAAUAUUGUAAUAUUGAAAUUGACCAAAUUCCUAUGAAAUUUUAGAGUUUUAAUUCUCAAAAGCAUGCAAUAAAUACAUUAGUUUAUAUAUUUGAAAUGUUAAAACAGUUUAUUUUCAGACAAUUUGAUAAAGAUCAUGUUUUUAUAAGUUUAAAAAACUCAUUUUUUAG
This 1228-nucleotide long non-coding RNA is filed under the name Bos grunniens (domestic yak). RNAcentral describes it as "lncRNA (ENSBGRG00000008302.1)". Lineage: Eukaryota; Metazoa; Chordata; Mammalia; Artiodactyla; Bovidae. The record is from RNAcentral.